RNAcentral lists this ribosomal RNA (240 nucleotides) under uncultured Oscillospiraceae bacterium. Its description in RNAcentral is "partial 16S ribosomal RNA". It matches the Rfam family "Bacterial small subunit ribosomal RNA", at positions 100 to 339 of the family's 1533-position model. Lineage: Bacteria; Bacillati; Bacillota; Clostridia; Eubacteriales; Oscillospiraceae. The record is from RNAcentral.
GGACGGGUGAGUAACGCGUGAGGAACCUGCCUUGGAGAGGGGAAUAACACAGAGAAAUUUGUGCUAAUACCGCAUGAUGCAGUUGGGUCGCAUGGCUCUGACUGCCAAAGAUUUAUCGCUCUGAGAUGGCCUCGCGUCUGAUUAGCUAGUUGGUAGGGUAACGGCUUACCAAGGCGACGAUCAGUAGCCGGACUGAGAGGUUGACCGGCCACAUUGGGACUGAGACACGGCCCAGACUCC